RNAcentral lists this ribosomal RNA (1022 nucleotides) under Candidatus Doudnabacteria bacterium RIFCSPHIGHO2_02_FULL_48_21. RNAcentral's name for it is "bacterial LSU rRNA". It matches the Rfam family "Bacterial large subunit ribosomal RNA", at positions 1 to 866 of the family's 2925-position model. The record is from RNAcentral. Lineage: Bacteria; Candidatus Doudnaibacteriota.
CGAUAAGGGUAUACGGUGGAUGCCUUGGCACAAAAAGCCGACGAAGGACGCAGGAGCCGGCGAUACGCCUCGGGGAGCUGGCAAACAAGCUUUGAUCCGGGGAUGUCCGAAUGGGGAAACCUUAGCAAGUAAACCUUGCUAGCAUUCGUACGUGGUGUACGAGUAGCGGGAACCAUGCGAAGUGAAACAUCUCAGUAGCAUGUGGAAAAGAAAACUAAUGACUAGCUUUUUAUCUCAAGGCUGAUUCCAUGAAGCCUUGAGAUUAGAGAGCUAGUUGCAUUCCCCUAGUAGUGGCGAGCGAAAGGGGAACAGUCCAAACCAUAUUCAUGUUAGAAAUGUAGUCUCUAAUUUAUUAGUGGUUGCGUUUCUUUUAAAGGUUACAGCCGUUGUGAGUAUGGCGUUGCAAGACUAAUCGAUCGCUUCUGUAAAAGCGAGGGAAAAACGUGUUGUGUUGUCUAGUAGAACACGCCUGGAAAGGCGGACCAAAGAGGGUGAUAGUCCCGUACGCGAAAGACCACAAUUAUUUCCUGAUUGGUUCUUAAGUACGGCCGGACACGUGAAAGCCGGUCGGAAACUGGGUCGACUACGAUCUAAGACUAAAUACUUUUUGUGACCGAUAGUGAACAAGUACCGUGAGGGAAAGGUGAAAAGCAGCCCGGUGAGGGCGAUGAAAUAGUAUCUGAAACCGUAUAUCUACAAGGAGCGGAACACCGCAAGGUGAACCGCGUGCCUAUUGAAGAAUGACCCGACGAGUUAACGUAUGCUGCUUGUUUAAGUCUCUUUUGAGACGAAGACAUAGUGAAAGCGAGGGUUAAUAGCCCGUAUUAAUCAAAAAAUCAAUUUUUUGAUUAAAGGUGGCAUGCGUUAGACCCGAAACCCGGUGAGCUACUCAUGGUCAGGAUGAACUCAAGGUAAAACUUGGGGGAGGUCCGAACCCACUAUUGUUGCAAAAAUAGGGGAUGAACUGUGAGUAGGGGAGAAAUUCCAAUCGAACUGGGUGAUAGCUGGUUCUCCUCGAAAUA